Molecule: ribosomal RNA, 208 nt
Filed under: uncultured bacterium
Lineage: Bacteria
Description: partial 16S ribosomal RNA
Rfam family: Bacterial small subunit ribosomal RNA
Source: RNAcentral
UGCGUAGGUGGUUUCUUAAGUCAGGAGUGAAAGGCUACGGCUUAACCGUAGUAAGCUCUUGAAACUGGGAAACUUGAGUGCAGGAGAGGAAAGUGGAAUUCCUAGUGUAGCGGUGAAAUGCGUAGAUAUUAGGAGGAACACCAGUAGCGAAGGCGGCUUUCUGGACUGUAACUGACACUGAGGCACGAAAGCGUGGGGAGGCAAAACA